GCCCUGGCUCAUCCACUUCUGAACCUCUGUGCACUACUGGUAAGAAAGGAAGAAAAUGGUGAAAGCUUAUUCUCCUCCUUCUUAUGGUUUACCCCAAACACUUCUGUAUAAGAAGUAUUGUUAUGUAUACCCAAUAUCCAACUUUCAGCACGGAUCUCUUGGCUCUCGCAUCGAUGAAGAACGCAGCGAAAUGCGAUAAGUAAUGUGAAUUCAGAAUUCAGUGAAUCAUCGAAUCUUUGAACGCACCUUGCGCUCCUUGGUAUUCCGAGGAGCAUGCCUGUUUGAGUAUCGUGAAAUCCUCAACUCCCUCUGGUUGUUCUUUCUUUUGGAAAUCGCUGGAGGCGAGCUUGGACUUGGAGUUCGUGUUGGCUUGUUAAGCAGAGUCGACUCCUCUUAAAUACAUUAGCGUGACUUUUUACGAAUCGCCUUCAGUGUGAUAAAUAUCUACGCUGUGGUGUGAAGUAGCCAUAAUUUGCGCUUAUAGCUGUCUCUUCGCGAGACAAUUAUCUUGACCAUUUGAUCUCAGG
Molecule: ribosomal RNA, 527 nt
Filed under: Polyporales sp. UFMGCB 2195
Lineage: Eukaryota; Fungi; Basidiomycota; Agaricomycetes; Polyporales
Description: eukaryotic LSU rRNA
Rfam family: 5.8S ribosomal RNA (bases 140-291)
Source: RNAcentral